GGGCCGAGCUGCCUGGCAGCUUGGGUUGAACCAGUCAAGCAGGGACCCCGGCUGGCCCGUGGCGUGCACACUUAGGGGCUCCUAUACCGAGUCUUCGCGAUGGGCUGGACUUGCUUUGCUUUCUGCUAACCGCACCGUAGGGAUCCGUCCGACCCGUCCCAGUGUCUUUGCUCCUGAUGUCUCAGAACAGCUCUGAACAUCCUGUCCCCAGGAACAGUGAACAAUUGCUUGACUCCAAACCUGGAGGAUAAGAAGGGAGGCUGUUUAAUGAUAGUUGAACCUGGGGUGAGAAGAGCUGCUUCCAAACAUAGCACCGAGAAGCCCCCUGUGGGGUGUCCCUUUGCUCCGAACGCCUCUGCAUCCGCGAAGACCAGUCUAUUCUUGAUGCCUCUGAAAAUCUGUCAGGCCUGUCCUCCCUUUGAGGGGAACCGUCUGAUCUCCAAACACUGGCUUUCAAGCUCUUCUCUUUUUCUGUCUUUGCGACCUACCCCAGCUUCUUGAUUCCUUUUCUUUUUCCUUUUUAAGAAACUUACAAGCUGGGUGCCUUGGUACAUGGUGUGCAAAGCCUUCAUAAACUCGUGGACGCAGAAUUGAAAAAAAACAAAAGCUGCAGAUCAGAAGCUGUGAGGCCACCAGGGAAAACUGUGGUAAUGGAUGGAACCUCAUCCCACAUCCAGAGUGGGCUAGAUCACAUCAGUGUCUCCAGCUGACUCAUCACCCUGCUGAUUAAUUCUGAGCCAGUGGAGAAAAGCCAGUCCAAGAAUGAAGCCUAUGCACUGGAGACGUUCCACCGGAAAGAAGCACAGAGAAAUGAAGUCAGACCCCUGAGCAAACUGUACCUGAAGCUUAUACCACCUCUGGACUACACAGUUAGUUGACUUACUUUCUCAGGAUAAAUCACUCAGUGGUUUGUCAGUUCGUGAAACUCAUGUGUUGCUGGCAUUUUACUCUUUCCCUCUGUUCUUCAAAACCUCCAAGCGCGAACCUUGACACUUACAUUUUAUAAAUAGCAUAGAAGAAAACACUGCUUAAGCCUAAGAUCAAACAUGGAAUUCAAACGUGAUAGGAAGGAUGGUAUCGCCUGUGAAACUCGUGGCAAAGAAUUUCUCCUUGGAGCGUCCCUAAACCCUCCUGUCAGCCCCUGAAACUGGACCUGUGCUAUCAGUUUUUUACUCGCUGCAAGAUCGGUUGACAGAUCAGCCACCUUUUAUACCAUGAUCUCCCUUCCCCAAGGGAAUGACUGAGGCUAUACUUUGGAAAUGGGAUACAGGACUUCAUAGUAUUGGUCAGGAGGAGUUUUACAAUGGAGGAAAAAAGAAGAACAAUUUUUAAAGGGACAAAACACAGGCAUUUUUGUUGGAAGCCAAGGAUUGGGUCUGUAUUUGCGUCCUGUUCUCUUGGUAGCAACUCUUUGAGUGGCUGGCUCAUAAUAGAUGCUCAAUAAAAGUGUGUUGCAUGAAUGCAAGAGAAAAAAUGAAAGCUACCCAGGAGACGUCGAUAUCCUGGACAUCACCAAGACACAAAGUCCUCUGGUCAGCCCCUGGGGCGGUGUGUUGCACCACUGGCCAGGUGGGAGCACAGUGUAGCUAAUACUUUGGAAUUUCUACUUGGCCUCUGCUGCCUUGAUUGCUGCCCCUUAAAGCUACCUGGUCAAAUGCGACUGUCAGGUCAAAACCUGAGCCGGUCUUGAUCUGGUGCACUGCUCAGCUCUCCUUCUCCAAAUGCUCUGUUACCCUGGUCGACAAUAGUUCAGUCCACCAUCACCUGUGGUCUCCCUCAAACAAGGGUGUAAGCAUACUUAUCCUCAGAAAGUAUCUCUUGUUUCUCUAAAAUUCUAAUUUAACAGAGUGUCCUGUAUUUUCAUUUGCUUAAUCUGGAGACCCCAUCUCCAGCCACCAUGUGAAUGCCUCUCAAUAGAGGUUCUAGUUUUCUGUCUUGGUUGAGACGAAGAAUGAGUCUCACAGUUGGAAUCUGGCCAUCCCUUGGCUAGCAGUGCUGGGCAAAAGGAGCAUGCAGCCCUGGACAUUGAGUCGGGGCUGAACGGUCUCAGGACAACCACUGAGACAUUUUCGGAAAAGCAAAGCCACCUGUCAACCCGGAGAAAAGGCAGACAAGCCGGAAAUUACAGGUGGGCUGAGGGAGGGUGAGCCUUCCGUAUAAAGUAUUCAGUUUGUACUCUACUUGGUUUAUUUGUAAGUUACACAGAAAGAGGGUGGAGAAGGACAAGGGACAAUGUUGUGAAUGUCGUCUCAGAGCGGCAGGAAGACAUAAAUGGCACUUCGUGGUAAUAAGACAGGAAAACAAGAAAACCUCUUUUUUGCUCCUUUUCCUGCUUCUAGUGUGUGUGUGUGUGUGUGUGU
Long non-coding RNA from Mustela erminea (ermine), 2360 nucleotides. RefSeq lists it as uncharacterized. The record is from RefSeq and is a predicted model, not a curated record. The transcript has 3 exons. Lineage: Eukaryota; Metazoa; Chordata; Mammalia; Carnivora; Mustelidae.